Molecule: non-coding RNA, 4394 nt
Organism: Leptonychotes weddellii (Weddell seal)
Lineage: Eukaryota; Metazoa; Chordata; Mammalia; Carnivora; Phocidae
Source: RefSeq, a predicted model, not a curated record
AGCAGUUACCUCUAAACACACUCGAGCGUACUGCCUUCAAGGAGCCUCCUGUCUAGCUGCACAGACAAAUAUCCACAAAUAACAGGGCAAACUGUAUUCAUAUUAUGGGCAAGGUGGCUCUGGGAAUGGUAGCACAAAGUAAAGAGAGGCUCUGGGAAGAUGUUGUGGGAGGAGAAAUGUAUAUGAGCUAUGUUUUGAAAACUGGGUAGCAUUUAGUUUUUGUGUACGUUCAAACUUUGAAGGUAUUGUCCCACCCCACCCCCCAGCCUUGUUAAAAAAAAAAAAAUGCUGUCAUAAGUUAUUGGCUUAAGUUAUUUGGCUUUGCAGAGCAUAUUAGCAUCUUUUAUAGUUGGUGCCACUUUUUUGUGGCAUACAAAAAAGUGUAGGAUUCCACAUAGCCCCAUACAGGUAGGGUCCAGACUUAUUUAAGAUGACCCUGUAAUAUCACAAAAAGAGCAGUGGAAUUGGAAUUAGAAGACCUGGGUGCAAAAAUUUUAUGGUUUUUGUACUUCAAGAAAGAACUCUGAACUUCUUUGAAAGGAAGGAAAUUAAACGGGGGAAAGAAAAAAAAAACUUGGUCUCUGACUUGGUCUCUUAGAAGUUUAUGAUCAGAGUUGGAAAAUGUGUAGCGCAUUUCCUAGGUGCCCAAGAAUUCUGCGGCCCCCCAGAAGGUAUGGGAGUUGAACUAGGUACUAAGGAGAGGCAUACUGUUGGAUGGCUACCUAAAAUGAUAUGGAGGGUUAUGGCAGGCCCUGAAAAUCGCCCCAAAAGUUGUAAUUUGCUUAGACUAGUUGAAAGCCUUAAUGCAAAUAUUUGCAUAUUAAAGAACAAUCAUUAAUAUCUUUACACCUCUGUUAAAUGAAGUGGUAGGUUCAGUGAUUGUAGGACUAAAUGUAGCAUUAACAAAAAUCCUAAUAAAAAUAGAGUGAUCCUAUAGGAAAAAUGACCUUAAACUCUGUUCUUUAGGAAAAUACCCCAUUGUUUUUGUCAUUCAGAUUAAAAGAGUUUUUGCUUAAUUGCUUUUCAAAUGAAAAUACAAUUCUGAAAAGAAGAUAGUGGUAAAAGCUUUUUGUAAAUAUAAAAUGUUAGCUUUUAAAAAUUUAAUUUCUUUCAUUUUUCCAUUUCUUCUCCUGCAAAAGAUAAUGGCAUUUCCCUUAAGAGGAAAGACAUUUUUGAAAUGGAGUUAAAUUAUUAUUUGAGAAUAAGGCUUGUCUCUGUCCUUCUACUAUAUUCCAACUACUUAGGAAGAGACCUUAUAGUCCUUGCAGCAGCUUCCUCUGUCUGCAUGCCUUUCAUGAUCUGGGCAAUAGAAAGAUUAGCAGGUGAUUUCCUCUUUCCUCUAGACAGAUUCCCACUUGCACAGUUGCCCGUCCUCUAGUUUUUUCCCAGUGAUGCAGGGUACUGUUGUGAUGCUGAACUUUCUUUUAAGAACUACUGGAGGCCAUAUUUAUGAAACAGGCAGUUAAUAGGGAGAUUUGUGAUAACAAUUUUGGAAUGCUUGAUUCUAAUAUGUUCUUAUUUACUUUCUUAAACUAAUUUAGAGUUUCUUGCUAUCCUUUUUUUAAAAUCAGUCUUCAUGUGAUUUCCUUUCUCCAUAAUAUAGUAUUUUAAUUUUUUAAAUAUGGUUUUACCCAAACACAGUAAUUGAUACUCAAAGAAAAUUAUAUUUAGCCAUGGCAUUAUGUACUUCUGUUACUGCAGGUCUUGGUACCCACCUAUUUGAGAGGUAUGUGACUUUCUGAUUUACUUCAAAAAAGCAUAAUGAUUUAGUAUCCUGUCUUAGGCAAGAUUUGAUAAAAUCGGAGCCCUUUUUCUCUCUCAUGAUUCACUUUAGUAACUUUGGACUACUUAUUUACUUUUUAGUUCUGUUGCCUCUGGUAAUCCUGUAUAAAACCUUAUGGAAUACAGUAAUAAACAGUGUAAAAGAGUUUGAAUGUCGAGAAUGGAAAAUUUCAGAAUCAAUCCUCCAGUUCAGUGAUUCUUAACUUCGUUAAUAACUGUUAUUAACAUUAAAUAAGUCAGCUUUUAUUGACAGUUAAUGAAGAAGUGAACCUAAAGGAGUAGUUACAAAAUUUUGGAAAUUUUAUGAUUUUUGUACUUCAAGAAAGAACUUUGAACUUCUUUGAAAGGAAGGAAAUUAAAUGGGGGAAAGAAAAAAAAAAAAGAGGUUUCCUUCACCCUCCCAAGGAAUUGAGAAAGUUGUAGAAGGGUGCACCAAAAAGAAUCACUGGGUUCUAGGACGUUAGAGAAGUUGAAAAGAGAAAUCUGAUGUUCCUUGCUGAAUUGUCUAAGCAGUGCUAUAAAGUGAAGUGUAGAACAAGGAUUUGGAAGUCAGGUGGGCCCAAUUUCAAAUCCUGACUUGGAUGUUAUUAGCUCUGUGUCCUUGGACAAGGUACUUAAUCUCUUUGAACCUCAGUUUCUUCAUCUGUGAAAUGAAAAUAAGAAGACACACUUCAUAGAGCUGAUGGGAGCAUUCCGUAUGUACAGAGUGUCUCGCAUAGUGCUUGGCACAGUGGCCUGCGUAAAUGUUAGGUACCCCCUCACAGCAGCAGCCCCCUCAACAAGUCAUUUUUACUUCUCUGGAUUCUUGGCCAGCAAUAAAACCAUUAAUUCAAGCAGCUUGAAUCUAAAGUGUUACUCAGUACUUUGAUACCUGGUGUUAGUGAAAGAGAAAAAUGAUGCCUAAUUUUGUAAAUCAUUGCUAAAAUUAAUAGGCUUGGCAGAAUGACUUGUGUGUAUAUAGAAGACAUUUUAUCUAAAUUAUUUCUAUGAUCAUUAUACAUACCUACUCUCCCCUUCUUUUUUUUUCUUUUAUUUAACAUGACAUAAAAUAUGGAGUGGGAAAUAAAUAAGGCAGAUAGUUUUCACUUCUAUGAAAAGUGGUUGCUAGGGUUUCCACAGUUGAAAUCACUGCUUUCAAGGAGAUUAUGGUUUGCAGCGUACUGUAGGAGGAUAAGAAUGAUAAUGAAUGGUAACAGUACUAUGUGCUAGUUCACUCAUGUCAGUCCUAUGAGGUAUGACUCCUAUUAGCUUCAUUUUGCAGAUAAUGAAACCGAAGCACAGAGAGGUUAAUAAUAACAUUCCUGUUUGCAUAGUUAGGAAGUAGCAGAGCCAGGAUUUGAACGCAGACAGUCUGGGUCUAGAGGCCACUCUCUUAACCAGUGUCUUACAGGACUAAGAGAAGACGGUCCUUUAAAUGGGAGCAAAUGUCUUAAAGCUGUGGUAGGUUGUUUACUUUUAGAUUUGCUUGACAGGUAUUCUGAGAGAAGCCUCACAAAGUGUAUCGGAAUUACUAUUGAGACCAGACCAGAUUAUUGUAUGAAGCGGCAUUUAAGUGACAUGUUGACCUAUGGCUGCACAAGGCUGGAGAUUGGGGUGCAGAGUGUCUACGAAGAUGUGGCCAGAGAUACCAACAGGGGCCACACUGUGAAGGCAGUAUGUGAGUCAUUUCACCUGGCCAAGGAUUCUGGGUUCAAAGUCGUGGCUCAUAUGAUGCCUGAUCUGCCAAAUGUGGGACUAGAGAGAGACAUUGAACAGUUUACAAAAAACUCAAAGGGAAUAUGAACAGACUGUAUGCCUUUUCUGACUGCAUCCCAGCAAAUAAAGGAGUGACAAAAUAGAGCUAACAUUUCUCUCUAGAGGAAAAUUCUCUGCAAAAUUAAAUUGCCUUAAAAUAAAGAAUUUCUACAAAUCAGUAAGAAAAAAGCAGACAGCCCAAUAGGAGAAUGGCAAAAACAUUUGAACAAGCACUUCACAAAUAGGAUAUUCAAACAGCCGAUAAACAUAUUUAAAAGUUCUCAAAGUCAUUAAUCUUCAAAGAAAUGAAAUUUAAAACUAUGAUGCAUUCCUACUAUAUAUUCACCAGAAAAGCUAAGAAGAGCUAAAAUGAAAAAAAGACUAAAUCAGAUGUUGCUAAGAGUAUGGAGCAACUAGAAUUCUUCAUUUACUGCUAGUACAUUGGUACAUCAUGUAUGACAUUAUCUACUAAGGGUGAAUAUAUGCAUACCCCAUGACCCAGUAAUUGUACUCCUAGAUGUAUACUCAACAGAAAUGCCUACACAUAUUUACCAAAAGUCACGGUCACAAAUUACUAUUGGUAAUAUCAUCAGAGUGGCAACAAGUGUCCAUUUAACAACAGAAUGCAUAAAUAAAUUAUGAUGUAGUCAUACAAUGAAAUACUAUAAAAAAUAAUAAAUUAAUUACAACCUCAUGCAACAACAUGACUGAUUCUUUUCAACAUAAAAUUGAGCAAAGGAAACCUGAUCCAAAAGACUACCCAACAUACAAUUCUGUUAAUAUGAAGUCCAAAAACUUUGGGUGGAAUUGUAACUGGAAACAGGCAUGAGGUGGGCUUCUAAGGUUUUGAUAUUCUUUUUCUUAAUUUGAGUGUCUGG